Long non-coding RNA from Dipodomys spectabilis (banner-tailed kangaroo rat), 902 nucleotides. RefSeq lists it as uncharacterized. The transcript has 3 exons. Lineage: Eukaryota; Metazoa; Chordata; Mammalia; Rodentia; Heteromyidae. The record is from RefSeq and is a predicted model, not a curated record.
AAUACUGCAAGGGGUUUGCGCUUUCGAUUUAAUUUUAAUUGCAUGUUCCUAGAAGUUCCAGAAACGGAGCCAAAGACACUUUAGUUUUGAGGGGAGAGGGAGAGACUUCAAGUUUCUAUCUUCUUAAAGAAAUAUUUGUUUAAUUUCCUCCUGGAGGAGAAAAAAAAAGUUCAACACUCGAACGUUUCUCACAGUGUAAAAUGUGUAUUUUAAAAUUCUAGCGCUGUCAUAGUGUUUUGUUUCUUAAAAAGGGCAUUUUUUUCUGCCCCUGUCCAAAAUGUCCAGAACGCUGCCAGUUUCUUCCUUGAAACAAUUGUUACUCCGGAGAAAAAUCCAUAAGGAUCAAUUUUAUUCUUCUGUUUCCAGUAUCAGCUGUAUUGCUACAAUGAGACUUUUAUUUGAAAGCAUUUUUUAAUGUAAUUGAAUCACAUACCCAUCUUGAACAAGUCCUGGUCUACAUGAUGGAACAAGUAUUCAGCUAAAUGAUGGAAAGGUGAGACUCAGGAUGAUUCAAAGUUGGAGCCACAUGACUGGGAAACACAGAACGAGGAGCAGAAUGUCUAAAGUUAAGAAGACUGACAGUGCCAACAGGGUUAGCAAUGAAAUAUGUAAAACAACCUGAACUCGGCUAUUGCGCAUGGGAAUGUAAACAGUCCAACUACUUUGCAAAACAAUCUACAAAAGCCAAACUUAUGUCUACUCUGUAUCUCAGAAUGAUGGGUAAUUUUAGAUGCUAACUUUAUUGGGCCACCAUGCCCAAUUAUUAAUUAUAAUUAUUCGAGGUAUUUCUGUGAGUUAGUUUUAAAAUGAAUGGAAUCUAAAUAAAGCAGAUUGUGCUCCGUAACUUGGGUGGUCUCAUCCAAUCAAUUGAAGUCCUAAAUAGAAUGAACAGACCAACUCUU